This 415-nucleotide ribosomal RNA is filed under the name uncultured bacterium. RNAcentral describes it as "bacterial SSU rRNA". It matches the Rfam family "Bacterial small subunit ribosomal RNA", at positions 30 to 444 of the family's 1533-position model. The record is from RNAcentral.
AUUGAACGCUGGCGGCAGGCCUAACACAUGCAAGUCGAGCGGUAGAGAGGUGCUUGCAUCUCUUGAGAGCGGCGGACGGGUGAGUAAUGCCUAGGAAUCUGCCUGGUGGUGGGGGAUAAACGUUCGGAAACGGACGCUAAUACCGCAUACGUCCUACGGGAGAAAGCGGGGGAUCUUCGGACCUCGCGCCAUUAGAUGAGCCUAGGUCGGAUUAGCUAGUUGGUGAGGUAAUGGCUCACCAAGGCGACGAUCCGUAACUGGUCUGAGAGGAUGAUCAGUCACACUGGAACUGAGACACGGUCCAGACUCCUACGGGAGGCAGCAGUGGGGAAUAUUGGACAAUGGGCGAAAGCCUGAUCCAGCCAUGCCGCGUGUGUGAAGAAGGUCUUCGGAUUGUAAAGCACUUUAAGUUGGG